GGAGGUGCUGGCGGAGCGCGAGGAGGCGGCGGCGCUGCCCGCGGCGGCGGGAGGCGGCGGCGGCGCCGGGCCCCCGCCCGCCCCGGCGGCCUUAUUGACAAGAAGCCUGGCGGACCCAGAGAAUAACAACGUUGACAAUGAAUGCUCACAAGGAAACAACAGGAAGCCUGAGGGGCAAUCCACAAUAUCGUAUGAUUAUUCUGAGGAGGAGCUCAUGGCAAGUAUUGAGCGAGAGUAUGGCCCCUGAAUCUAAUCCCAUGUGAUGAGAACUUCAAGCAUGUUUCUGGAGGCACAGCUGGAACAAAACUACUGCUAACAACAUAACCCCUCAUGCAGUGAGACAACAUGAAAGAGGUGCAAAAGACAAGUAAAGAAUGAGAGGCAACACAACUGUUUAGGAAGCUUGGAAGAGUGUUUGAAGAAAGCCUCCCUGAGCAAUUCUGACUGAGACCAUGGAGAAUCCUCACCAGCUGUUGAGUCUGAUCAGUGCAGCUGGAACAGGGACCAUGGCAUCUUGUAAAUCAAUAUUUAAGACCUCUUUUCUAAAUGGUAUUUACAUUCGAGGAUUUACUGGAAUGUAAAUAUUCGGGCAUGGUGCUUUGGGAGAAGACCUUUUUGUUUUGGCAGAAAAAAAAUGUAACAAAAUCCUUCAGUUCAGAUUUCACUUAAGGGGAUGUUGCACAAAGUUCACAUUCCUGCCACUUAAGAAAUAUGGGCCAAAUUCACUCCUUUAGCCAUACAGGCCUCAGUUCCAGGUCUGAAUUUGGCACUGUAUCUUUGAAAAGAGUUGCCAGGGAAAAAUAAAAGGAAAAGGAGAGCAAAUCUCCAAUUCAAAAUGUAGGUAGUAUAAUCCAGGAGUUCAAAUCCCCCUGCUUAAGCAAAUGAGGCUCUGAGGAGUGAACAGGGAGCCUAAGAUUUGUACAAAGAGCAGAAGAGCUCCAGCUUCCUCCUGCUCACAGCAGCAUCCCGGAGAUGUGCAGCUGCAGCGAGUCAGAGUCCCAACCUCUUCAGGGCAAGAUCCUCACAGAAAUUUCUUCCUGGCUGGCUUGUUGGCAUGGAUCCACCAGGGAAAACAGGAGGCACAUCCCCAGCACUGCCCGUAUGCAUUUGUCCAUCAUCUGCUUUGAGACAGAGUUGCACACUAUGGUAGAGCAGUUGUUUCCAAUCAGUUCUCUAUGUUCAGAAUCAUCAUUCCUGCCUUUCCCAUAUAUUUCUUUUCCUUAACAGUUAACCUAGAAGAAAAAUCACUAUAUUUUAUCGUUAGAAAACUGAAAAGUAAAAUGGAAAGUCUGGAGCUUGAAAGAAAAUACUACAUUUUCAAUGCUCAUUGAGAGUGAAACCUGGUAUUUUAAUGUUUCUGCCUUUAUUCUACCUGCAUCUUAACAUAUUAUAAGUAGCUGCUUAUUAUCAGAAGUAGAAAAAUAUCUUAUGUCUGUCCUCAGACGAAGCAUAAAACACAUCAGAUGAAGUCUUCACAUAUACUACAUAAACGCAAGAGGAAAGAGCAGGACGUAUCUUAAAAUGUUGUAUUUUGACUUCUCCUUUGUAACUCCUAAUAUCUAUAAAACAGAAGUAAAUGUAUCUGUAUUCUAUAUAACUCUUAGUAAAGCCAUAAAAUGUCAUUUUGAAAAA
Molecule: long non-coding RNA, 1632 nt
Organism: Rhea pennata
Lineage: Eukaryota; Metazoa; Chordata; Aves; Rheiformes; Rheidae
Exons: 3
Source: RefSeq, a predicted model, not a curated record